This 253-nucleotide ribosomal RNA is filed under the name uncultured bacterium. RNAcentral describes it as "partial 16S ribosomal RNA". It matches the Rfam family "Bacterial small subunit ribosomal RNA", at positions 524 to 776 of the family's 1533-position model. The record is from RNAcentral.
UACAGAGGGUGCGAGCGUUAAUCGGAAUUACUGGGCGUAAAGGGCGCGUAGGUUGUUGCGUAAGUGAGUUGUGAAAUCCCCGGGCUUAACCUGGGAAUGGCAAUUCAAACUGCGUGACUAGAGUACUGUAGAGGGUAGUGGAAUUUCCGGUGUAGCGGUGAAAUGCGUAGAGAUCGGAAGGAACAUCCGUGGCGAAGGCGGCUACCUGGACAGAUACUGACACUGAGGCGCGAGAGCGUGGGGAGCAAACAGG